This 3690-nucleotide long non-coding RNA is filed under the name Equus caballus (horse). RNAcentral describes it as "lncRNA (ENSECAG00000059556.1)". The stretch from base 577 to 708 matches the Rfam family "Small nucleolar RNA SNORA9". The record is from RNAcentral. Lineage: Eukaryota; Metazoa; Chordata; Mammalia; Perissodactyla; Equidae.
CGCCGUUCUCACAAAAUACAACUAGCAGGCGCCGCGAACGCGCCCCAGGUGACGUCAUCGCGCCGGGCCCAGGGGUCACGUGAUUCCGCGCGCGGCCUUCGGCGGACUGCGUGGUGACGUAGGCGCGGGCGUGCGCGGCAGAAGCCAUGGCUGGUGGAUGAGGCGUGUUUGUGCGGUCGCGGACCGCUGCCGGGCAGCGUCGUCAUCCGAGGCCAUCGAGGGCCCCAGGUGGUACCUGCGCUCUGCUGAGGCCAGUUCCGAAGUGUUUUCUGAACGUAAAGUCCACACCUAGAAGAAUGUGGAAGAAAAGGCCGUUUUGUGAAUGAUAUGAUGAUAGAGAGGUUUCUCUGGUCGCCUAAGUGUAGGAAGCUCAGCUCUAGAAUUACACGGUCGUAGGGAGUAAAAUUCGCUCCCCUCGUCCCAACUGCUUGAUAAGGCUUCCUCUGCUCAGGCUCCUUCCACCUGUCGGAGUCACCUGUGCCCGUGCGCUCCUGGAAUAAACCCAAGUAGGCCCAGUUUAACCCCAUGAUCUCUCUUCUCAGCUCCCCGGGCUUGAGGGGCUUAAAUGAGUGUGGGCUGCAAGCCUCCAGCGUGCUUGGGUCUGGGGUGACCCUGUGCAUUCCUACAGUGCUUGCGAGAACAUUUUGAAACGGUUUGAGGCCUUGCCCUGCUCCAUCCAGAGCAAGGUUAUAGAAAUUUCAGACAAUCGCCUGCUCCCUUCCCUAUCUGGUGUGCUAGGCAUUGUAUAGAUCUGUACUGUCUGAUGUGGUAACCACUUGCAGCAUAUGGUUAACUUGAACUUAAAUUUUAAAACUCAGGGGCCGGCUCCGUGGCCGAGUGGUUAAGUUCGCACGCUGGGCUGCGGCGGCCCAGGGUUCGGAUCCUGGGCGCGGACAUGGCACCGCUCGUCAGGCCACGUUGAGGCGGCGGCCCAUAUGCCACAGCUAGAAGGACCUGCAGCUAAGAUAUAUAACUACGUACGGGAGGGAGGGGGGAGGUUUGGGGAGAUAAAGCAGAAGGGAAAAAAAAAAAAGAUUGGCAACAGUUGUUAGCCCAGGUGCCAAUCUUUAAAAAAAAAAUUUUAAUUCAGUUUUUCAUUCAUACUACCCACAUUUCAGAUGCUUAGUAGUCAUGUGGCAAAUGGCUACUGUACUGGACUGUGCAGAAUAUAGAACAUCCACAUCUCUGCAAAAGUUGUUUUGGACUUUGGGUGUUUUCUAUGUGUCAGGCUCAUUGCGAAUUUUAUUAUAUUCUUAAAACAAAACCUGUACAAAAUUUGAAAAUAAAGCUCAGGGGGAGUGGUAAAGGUAAAGUUGGACCAGCAUCAGGGAAUAAAGAGUAGAAAGGAGUUACAGGGGUGAGCCCUGCCUGGAGGGUACAGGGUGUUGACAACAGGCAAACCAAAGAGAACCAGAGGCUAAAUUCUGCAGCAGAGCUGAAUGCCCCAGGAGCUGACCAAGGGCAGGGUCAGUGCACUGAUCUCAAGGGAAGACCUCCUGGGAGAGGAGGGCUCUCUUGUUGCUUGGACUCUUGUUUUGUGCCGAACUUCGUAGUUCUUCACCCAGUUUAAAUCUUUGAGGACCACGAUGAGGUGGUCUUAGGUCUAGUACAAAAGCCCACAGUCAGAAUUCUGUGUCCAGGGUUGCCCAGCUGGAACCUAGCAGGUCGGGCUUGGACGCCAGGCCUCUCCAGCCCUACCGUGUGUGCUCGUUUCCAGGAUGCCAGACAGAGGGGAAUCUAGAAGCGGGUGGGAAGUUUGGGUUGGAGGGAAAUAGGUUGUGUCCUUUGGUGUGAGCACUGUGGGGUACAGUCAGGGAUAGGCCAUGGUGGAAAGAGUGGCCAGCAUGGUCGUGGCAGGGCGGCCCAGUUCUGUGCUCCUCCGGGUGGUGAGGUCACACCACGCUUCUUCCCUUGCAGGUGAAGGCUUCCAGUGGACGCGGAUCCCUUCAGUCCAACUGCAGAGGCUGAGCACACCAGCCUCCACGCGGCUGCGUCUGGGGACACUUGCCCAUGAGUCUCGAGUUUCUGCAGUCCUCGGAGCGAGGUGCCGGCUGCCCUUUUGCCCAGAUUGCCUUUUCAAGGAUCUUCAAGUAGCAGACAGCCUCGAGAUGUGUGAGGUAGCGCCUCCCUCCAGAGCAGAAAGCAGGUAUGCCCACUGUCCACCGUAAAAGAUUUGGCUUUCCUGCAUUCGGAGUACCUUUCCUGUAACGCAGCCUACUGCACGUACGGGUGCCUUCUGACUCCCCUCGGGUCACCCUGUGGGAAUUGGGGCUAGGGGAAAAUGCUGAUGUUCUGGCAGCUGCUGUUUUGAAUAGUCGAUUGUUUGUGUCUCUAAUCGAGGAAUCUUGUGUCUCCUACCAGCAUCUGUGAAACUGGAGUUUGUCUGCUGUCGGAUGGGAGCUAAAUCAGACCCUUACCUCCCCCAGCAGACUCUGCUCUGCGUCCCUGCCCUAGCGCAUAACAGGAAGUGCCUGCCAUCCCCCAGUGUUUCAGAAAGCCCAGGAUGCUAGAACUAGAAGAGACCUGAGAGAGGAUCCCUUUGGUGGCUGUCAGGCUGUCCAUGGAAUCUGCAGUGGUAUGUAUGCAGGAAGGGUCGGGCCUAACAAGUCACUUCACUUCUGUUUUAUAUGUUAGUUUUCCAUGAAUCCCCUGGCCAAGAAGUUUAAAACCAUUGACUUAUUCUGACCUUCCCUUAUUAUAGGUCAGAUGAUUGAGUCCCAGAAAGGUUAAUUGCCUUCAAGCCCACAAGACUACAUUGUGGACAGGCAGUUUUCUAGUGUCUGGAUUGUGGGGCUUUGAUUCUUUGGCAUUUGGUUGCCAAAUUUGGUUUUGGGUUCGACGCGCCACCUUUUCCCCAGGAAUCUCCUCGGUCAGUGAUGUGCUGGCCUAGAAAGGGCAGGCUGCUGCGAAGUCUCAUCACAGAGGCCUCCUCAACUGAAGGUGGAGUCAGGAGUGGGAACCCAAGUUCAGUUCUGUUAUUGCCACUCAGUGGCAAUUGGCAUUUGUAACAAUCCCUGGCUAUGUGUUUACGUCACUCAUUUUUCACAGCAGGCCUCUGAGGUGUUUCCAAUUUCCUCAUUUUUCCGGAUGAGGAAGUGGGUACUCUGGGGAGUUGUGGCCUGUCUACGCUGACACACCUAAUAAGGUUGCAGCAGAAUUUGAACCAGGCCUUUGCACUUGGGUUCUCUGAGCAACUUCAAUGCCUCCCUUACUCCCCUGCUAGGAAGAGUCAGGAAUUUCCGGUUCUGGGCCCAGGCUGGGGUGUGGGUGGCUCGGGGCCUGGGGUGUGUGUCUGACUGACAUUCUCUGACCCCAGGUGUGGGCGCUGUAUCUGCCUCCAGAACAAGAAUCCUCGCUGUGCGGCUGACCCCGUGGCUGAGUGGUUAAGUUCGUGCUCUCCACUGCAGGCAGCCCAGUGUUUCGUUGGUUCGAAUCCUGGGCGUGAACAUGGCACUGCUCAUCAAACCACGCUGAGGCAGCGUCCCACAUGCCACAACUAGAAGGACCCACAACGAAGAAUAUACAACUAUGUACCGGGGGGGUUUUGGGGAGAAAAAAGGAAAAAUAAAAUCUUUAAAAAAAAUAAUAAUUAAAAAAAAAAAAGAAUCCUCGCUGUGCAUCAGGACCCAGGUCUCUCUGACAUCUCCUGAAUAAGGAGAAAGACAUAUUUAAUAAACAGUUUUAAAUGUG